This is a non-coding RNA of Chelonoidis abingdonii (Abingdon island giant tortoise), 111 nucleotides long. The record is from RefSeq and is a predicted model, not a curated record. Lineage: Eukaryota; Metazoa; Chordata; Testudines; Testudinidae.
GAGCUUUUAAAUCUCUGACUAAGGCAUAUUUUCCAUAUCUCAAAUCAUCCUUGCAGCUCAUUUCUGAACCCUUUCUAAUUUUUCAACAUCCUUUUCUGAAUGUGGACACCA